RNAcentral lists this ribosomal RNA (441 nucleotides) under uncultured bacterium. Its description in RNAcentral is "partial 16S ribosomal RNA". It matches the Rfam family "Bacterial small subunit ribosomal RNA", at positions 338 to 795 of the family's 1533-position model. The record is from RNAcentral.
CCUACGGGCGGCAGCAGUGGGGGAUAUUGCACAAUGAGGGGAACCCUGAUGCAGCGACGCCGCGUGGGUGAAGGAGUGCUUCGGCAUGUAAAGCCCUAUCGGCAGGGAAGAAGCAAGACGGUACCUGACUAAGAAGCCCCGGCUAACUACGUGCCAGCAGCCGCGGUAAUACGUAGGGGGCGAGCGUUAUCCGGAUACACUGGGUGUAAAGGGAGCGUAGACGGCCAUGCAAGCCAGGGGGGAAAGCCCGGGGCCCAACCCCGGGACUGCCCUUGGGACUGUGCGGCUAGAGUGCGGGAGGGGCAGGCGGAAUUCCAGGUGAAGCGGUGAAAUGCGUAGAUAUAAGGAGGAACACCGGCGGCGAAGGCGGCCUGCUGGACCGAGACUGACGCUGAGGCUCGAAAGCGUGAGGAGCGAACAGGAUUAGAUACCCUUGUAGUC